Molecule: long non-coding RNA, 1788 nt
Filed under: Mus musculus (house mouse)
Lineage: Eukaryota; Metazoa; Chordata; Mammalia; Rodentia; Muridae
Description: zinc finger protein 783
Source: RNAcentral
GGACCGUGUGGAGAGUGCGGGCGCUGGACAGCAGCUCCGGCCCCUCACCGACGCGCAGCCCGCGCCUGGGCCGACCUGUUGACUGAAAAUCAGCCGGCGCUUGGCCAGAUGCGUCGAUGGAGGCCCGCAGCCCAGCGACGACGUGGUAGUCAUGGCUGAAGCGGCGCCUGCCCCGCCAAAUGCAGAGAAGAGCUCAUACCUCUAUUCCAUAGAAAUCACACUGUGGACCGUGGUGCCUGCUGUUCAGGCCUUGGAGAAGAAAAGUGGAUUCUUGCCUGGCCCGCUUGCUGACUCUGGAGGGAUGCUCAGGGACAGCAGAGAAGAAGCUGGCUGACUGUGAGAAGACAGCUGUGGAGUUCAGCAGCCAGCUGGAGGGCAAGUUGGCCGUGCUGGGGACCCUGCCUCAGGAGUCUAGGCUGCUGCAUGAAGAACCUCAUGGGCAACUGGAACUUCUGGGUCCAGCGGCUUCCCCCUGGCAACAAGGGGGAGGUCCCCAAGGUAUUUCUCUGAGUCCAGAGCAGGCCCCAAGUCCAGCUAGCCCUGCCCAGGAGGAACUGAAUCAAAGGCAGACACCUGAGCAGCAGCAAGAGGAAGCAACCAUGAUUCCACCUGAGCCAGGCACUGGGAUUCCAGCAAGCACCAGCCCUUUAUCACUUAAACAGGAGGAAGAAUCUGCAGAGGGAGGAGAGUUGCCACCCUCCCCUUCCACAGAUAGCCUGCUUUCUGUGGAGCCAGGGAAGUCCAGCCCUGCAAGGGCCCAGCUCUGAACAGGACAGGACCUGCACUGUCUCAGGGCCUUUCCCUUGUGCCUGCCAAGUGGUGGAAGUUCCUUCACUUUCCAGCUGAGUUGGUACUUUAGGGGCCCUUCAAAAGCACAAGCUCCAGACCAGGAAUUUGAGGUGAUAGUGUCAUGCCUCAAAGUCAUGAGAGCGGGUGCUUCAUGUGCCUCUUUGUCACAGCACCUUGGGGACAGCCUUGUGGAGCUUCUGGAGCUGGGUGAUGGAUUCCAAUUCUGAUAGUUUGCUCUCUUGUUUGGCACUCAGACACCAGAGCACAUGAAGGCUCCCAGGUGCCUUCAUCCCUGGCUGUGCUAUUGCUAAAGUCCUGCAGACUCUGUAGCCACUCAGAAGUCCUGCACAGACGAGGCAGAGGGUGACACUGCCGUCAUUCCCAGGGUAGGGGUAUGACUGGCAAGACUGUGGCAUGCAGCCAUGGUUCUGGACGUUACUUGCCUGCACACCCAACCGUUGUUUAGGCCCUGCAAGCAAGACAGCAGUUGUCAGUAAGCGCUCAGACUGAACGUGGACAGUAUAGCUGCCCCAAACUUAAUCCUCCGCUGCAAGCACUCAUGUUGCUGUUCUGGGGGUUCCUAGGCCUCUCUUCUAAUGCUUUAGAUGUUCUCUGGAAAACAAGUAUUCAUAUUUGAAGCACAAAUCCAAGUGCUGGGGUGGGGGAAGAGGCGCUGUAUAAUCCUGGCUCGCCUUGGGCUUGCAGUGAAUUUUUUUCCCCUACCUCUAUCUACCUACUAGGAUUUCCUUGCUUGUGCCAUUAUGCACAACUGGGCUUACUGCAUUUAACCUGAAAUUCAAUAGGACAGGUUAAAGAGUAUUUUGAGUUAAGAAUGAACAAAGGCUGCAUGGUUGCCUGAGCUCAAAGACGUUGGAUCCCAGAUUCUGAUGACUUAUUUUGUAAAACAAAGAUAUGGUUGGGUUGGUUACAAGGCCCUAAGAACCAUGGAGGUGGAAAUAUUAACUUAAUCGGUGCUCUAUAAAUACACUGGAAAAUGUA